Molecule: ribosomal RNA, 253 nt
Filed under: uncultured bacterium
Lineage: Bacteria
Description: partial 16S ribosomal RNA
Rfam family: Bacterial small subunit ribosomal RNA
Source: RNAcentral
GACGUAGGUGGCGAACGUUAUCCGGAAUUAUUGGGCGUAAAGGGUGCGUAGAUGGUGUAGUAAGUUAUCGGUGGCAAAUCGAGGCUCAACCUCGUGGAAGUCGGUAAUACUGCUAUGCUAGAGGAUAGGAGAGGUUAACGGAACUCCCUGUGGAGCGGUGAAAUGCGUAGAUAUUCGGAAGAACACCAGUGGCGAAGGCGACUUACUGGACACAUAUUGACGCUGAGGUGCGAAAGCGUGGGGAGCAAACAGG